UGGUGGAGUGAUUUGUCUGGUUUAUUCCGAUAACGAACGAGACCUCAGCCUGCUAAAUAGUUCUGCAAACCAUCUGCUGGUGAGACACGGGGCUGUCCGUCGUGGUUUUCGGAUCGCGCGGCGACCUGUGUGGAUCCUUGACGAGUUUGUACUGAACUUCUUAGAGGGACUAUUCUGUGUUUAACGAUUGGAAGUUUGAGGCAAUAACA
This 209-nucleotide ribosomal RNA is filed under the name uncultured eukaryote. Its description in RNAcentral is "partial 18S ribosomal RNA". It matches the Rfam family "Eukaryotic small subunit ribosomal RNA", at positions 1299 to 1458 of the family's 1831-position model. The record is from RNAcentral.